UCCCAUUGAGGAUGGUCUUGGAGUUUGAUGUUGGCAGAGGGCGAAACAAUUACAAAUGGCGAGAUAAUGGCUAUGGAAGGGCAUGUCAGAUACUGAAUCCAGCCUUGAGGAUAAGGCUGUUUUUGAGCGGU
RNAcentral lists this small RNA (131 nucleotides) under Arabidopsis thaliana (thale cress). RNAcentral describes it as "ATSL159720". The record is from RNAcentral. Lineage: Eukaryota; Viridiplantae; Streptophyta; Magnoliopsida; Brassicales; Brassicaceae.